Long non-coding RNA from Hyaena hyaena (striped hyena), 908 nucleotides. RefSeq lists it as uncharacterized. The transcript has 3 exons. NCBI's taxonomy places the organism in Eukaryota, Metazoa, Chordata, Mammalia, Carnivora, Hyaenidae. The record is from RefSeq and is a predicted model, not a curated record.
GAUGGAGGAGGCCUUUUCUACUCUUGCAUGGAGGAUAUUUAUGUGACUGAGCUGGAGAAGCAGGUGACUGGAUUUUAAAGGACUGAUGUUCCUGAUGAGAAGGCAGAGUGUGUCUUCAAAUCAGAAACUUGCUCCCCACAGCGUUCACAGCCAGAGGCCUUGCAUUAAAUAUGGCAAAGCCUCAACAAGAUCAGGCCCCAUGCCAUGGUGAUCUUCAACUGGAAUCAGUCUGCUCACCAUCUACAAGUCAGAAGUACUUUCAUGAAUGGCAAUUACAGAGAAACCACUCUCUGGCAUAAGAAGAGACAGAGAUGCCAGAACAUUUCCAAACAUGAUGCUGCAGAGCCUGAGAGAAUCCCAGGCUGCCUUUACUGCUGAUGUCUCUCUCCUCCUCCUUUCCUUCCUCCUCCACCCCCCCAACUCCUCCUCCUCCUCCAUCCUUUUUCCCCUGAAAUAACAGUAUUAAAGGAAAAUCAAGUUUUACAAAUCUAUAAUAUCAAUUUACAUUUGAAUAAUUUAAUAAAUUGAAAUAGCAGCAUAAAAACUAAAAUAAGGUAUAAUGUUCAACCUAUAAAAUAAUUAUAAGAAUUUCACAUAUGUAAUAAAAUACAGUCCAGGACAGGUAAUUUCAUCUUUAGUGGGACAGUUUUUAAAAUGCAUGAAGAGCAUUUUUCAUUAAUGUAUCCUGUCUCUGUAACUUUAUGUCAUUGGGAAAUGCCUCAGGAGGUCUUACAUGAAUGUGACUCAAAAAAUGGUUUUCUCUCCCUCCCAUUUUCCCCAACCCUGUGCUGGGCACUUUCCUGGCCUUGCCAGGGCUGGUUAAUACAGGUAGUGCCCAACCUAAAAAUCAUACUUUGGCAAUACUAUCCUUAGGGGACUUGAGUGACACAGUCUGUUAAGAAUCCAGC